This 215-nucleotide signal recognition particle RNA is filed under the name Thalassionema nitzschioides. Its description in RNAcentral is "partial Bacterial large signal recognition particle RNA". It matches the Rfam family "Bacterial large signal recognition particle RNA", at positions 17 to 226 of the family's 256-position model. Rfam says of the family: The signal recognition particle (SRP) is a universally conserved ribonucleoprotein involved in the co-translational targeting of proteins to membranes. Archaeal SRP consists of a 7S RNA and homologues of the eukaryotic SRP19 and SRP54 proteins. The record is from RNAcentral. Lineage: Eukaryota; Bacillariophyta; Fragilariophyceae; Thalassionematales; Thalassionemataceae.
GGUAGCGGUGCCCUGUACUUGCAAUCCGCUCUAGCAAGGCUGAAUUCCACUUUUGAGGAUUUGAAGUGUGAGGACUGCCUCGACAGUUCCAGUGCUGAGAUCGCGGUCCUAUGCAAUAGAACGUCAUGAAUCAUGUCAGGUCCGGAAGGAAGCAGCAUUAAGUGGCCCAUUCUAUGUGCCGUAGGGUUGCCGUGGUUGAGCUGGUCUGUCGAGUA